UGUAUUUAUUAGAUUAAAAACCAAUGCCCUUCGGGGCUCCUUGGUGAUUCAUAAUAACUUAACGAAUCGCAUGGCCUUGUGCCGGCGAUGGUUCAUUCAAAUUUCUGCCCUAUCAACUUUCGAUGGUAGUAUAUGGGACUACCAUGGUUUCAACGGGUAACGGGGAAUUAGGGUUCUAUUCCGGAGAGGGAGCCUGAGAAACGGCUACCACAUCCAAGGAAGGCGGCAGGCGCGCAAAUUACCCAAUCCCGACACGGGGAGGUAGUGACAAUAAAUACUGAUACAGGGCUCUUUUGGGUCUUGUAAUUGGAAUGAGUACAAUUUAAAUCCCUUAACGAGGAACAAUUGGAGGGCAAGUCUGGUGCCAGCAGCCGCGGUAAUACCAGCUCCAAUAGCGUAUAUUAAAGUUGUUGCAGUUAAAAAGCUCGUAGUUGAACCUUGGGCCUGGCUGGCCGGUCCGCCUCACCGCGUGCACUGGUCCGGCCGGGUCUUUCCUCCUGGGGAGCCGCAUGCCCUUCACUGGGUGUGUCGGGGAACCAGG
This 541-nucleotide ribosomal RNA is filed under the name uncultured eukaryote. Its description in RNAcentral is "SSU rRNA". It matches the Rfam family "Eukaryotic small subunit ribosomal RNA", at positions 202 to 746 of the family's 1831-position model. The record is from RNAcentral.